Molecule: ribosomal RNA, 439 nt
Filed under: uncultured bacterium
Lineage: Bacteria
Description: partial 16S ribosomal RNA
Rfam family: Bacterial small subunit ribosomal RNA
Source: RNAcentral
CUACGGGUUGCUGCAGUGGGGAAUCUUAGACAAUGGGGGAAACCCUGAUCUAGCCAUGCCGCGUGAGCGACGACGGCCCUAGGGUUGUAAAGCUCUUUCAGCAGGGAAGAUAAUGACGGUACCUGCAGAAGAAGUCCCGGCUAACUCCGUGCCAGCAGCCGCGGUAAUACGGAGGGGACUAGCGUUGUUCGGAAUUACUGGGCGUAAAGCGCGCGUAGGCAGAUUGUUAAGUCGGGGGUGAAAUCCCGGGGCUCAACCCCGGAACUGCCCUCGAUACUGGCAGUCUUGAGUUCGAGAGAGGUGAGUGGAAUUCCGAGUGUAGAGGUGAGAUUCGUAGAUAUUCGGAGGAACACCAGUGGCGAAGGCGGCUCACUGGCUCGAUACUGACGCUGAGGUGCGAAAGCGUGGGGAGCAAACAGGAUUAGAUACCCGCGUAGUC